AUUGAACGCUGGCGGCAUGCUUUACACAUGCAAGUCGAACGGCAGCACGGGUGCUUGCACCUGGUGGCGAGUGGCGAACGGGUGAGUAAUGCAUCGGAACGUGCCCAUGAGUGGGGAGUAGCCCGGCGAAAGACCGGAUUAAUACCGCAUACGCCCUUAGGGGGAAAGGACGGGGAGUCUUCGGACCUCGCGCUAUUGGAGCGGCCGAUGUCGGAUUAGCUAGUAGGUGAGGUAAAGGACUCACCUAGGCGACGAUCCGUAGCUGGUCUGAGAGGAUGAUCAGCCACACUGGGACUGAGACACGGCCCAGACUCCUACGGGAGGCAGCAGUGGGGAAGUUUUGGUACAAUGGGCGGCAAGCCUGAUCCAGCCAUGCCGCGUGAGUGAAGAAGGCCUC
This 397-nucleotide ribosomal RNA is filed under the name uncultured bacterium. RNAcentral describes it as "bacterial SSU rRNA". It matches the Rfam family "Bacterial small subunit ribosomal RNA", at positions 29 to 418 of the family's 1533-position model. The record is from RNAcentral.